This 493-nucleotide ribosomal RNA is filed under the name uncultured bacterium. Its description in RNAcentral is "bacterial SSU rRNA". It matches the Rfam family "Bacterial small subunit ribosomal RNA", at positions 29 to 523 of the family's 1533-position model. The record is from RNAcentral.
AGCGAACGUUUGCGGCGGGCCUAACACAUGCAAGUCGAACGCACUAGCAAUAGUGAGUGGCGCACGGGUGCGUAACACGUGGGUAAUCAACCCUUCAGCUUGGGAUAACGACUUGAAAGGGUCGCUAAUACCGGAUACGGCGAGAGAGGCUUCGGCAUUUCUCGAGAAAGCCUCGCAAGGGGCACUGAAGGACGAGCCUGCGGCCCAUCAGCUAGUUGGUGAGGUAAGAGCUCACCAAGGCGAAGACGGGUAGCUGGUCUGAGAGGAUGAUCAGCCACACUGGAACUGAGACACGGUCCAGACUCCUACGGGAGGCAGCAGUGGGGAAUAUUGCGCAAUGGGCGAAAGCCUGACGCAGCCACGCCGCGUGAGCGAUGAAGGCCUUCGGGUCGUAAAGCUCUGUGGGGAGAGACGAAGAAAGACCGGUGAAGAGCGGCCUUGACGGUAUCUCCUUAGCAAGCACCGGCUAACUCCGUGCCAGCAGCCGCGGUAA